UAGCGUAUAUUAAAGUUGUUGCGGUUAAAAAGCUCGUAGUUGGAUUUCUGUUGAAGACCGGCGGUCCACCUUUUGGGUGAGUAUCUGCUUGGGCUUCGGCAUCUUCUCGGAAUACGUUGCUGCGCUUGAUUGCGUGGUUCGGAGUCCGGGACUUUUACUUUGAGGAAAUUAGAGUGUUCACGGCAGGCAUACGCCUUGAAUAUAUUAGCAUGGAAUAAUAAUAUAGGAUCUUGGUUCUAUUUUGUUGGUUUCUAGAGCUAAGAUAAUGAUUAAUAGGGACAAUUGGGGGCAUUCGUAUUAACGCGUC
Molecule: ribosomal RNA, 307 nt
Filed under: Amoebophrya sp.
Lineage: Eukaryota; Dinophyceae; Syndiniales; Amoebophryaceae
Description: SSU rRNA
Rfam family: Eukaryotic small subunit ribosomal RNA
Source: RNAcentral